RNAcentral lists this ribosomal RNA (509 nucleotides) under uncultured bacterium. RNAcentral describes it as "bacterial SSU rRNA". It matches the Rfam family "Bacterial small subunit ribosomal RNA", at positions 28 to 528 of the family's 1533-position model. The record is from RNAcentral.
GACGAACGCUGGCGGCGUGGAUUAGGCAUGCAAGUCGAACGGUAUCAUCCUUUCGGGGGUGAGAGAGUGGCGAACUGGUGAGUAACACGUAGGUUAUCUACCCUCAAGACGGGGACAACCCAGGGAAACUUGGGCUAAUACCGGAUGUGAGCAACUUUUAGUUGUUUGAAAGGUGGCGUAAGCUGUCGCUUGGGGAUGAGCCUGCGUCCUAUUAGUUAGUUGGUGGGGUAACGGCUCACCUAGGCAAUGAUAGGUAGGCGGCCUUAACGGGUGGUCGCCCACACUGGGAUUGAGAUACGGCCCAGACUCCUACGGGAGGCAGCAGUCGAGAAUAGUCUACAAUGGUCGGAAGACUGAUAGUGCGACGCCGCGUGAACGAUGAAUCCCUUCGGGGUGUAAAGUUCUUUUAUAUGUGAGCAGUGCUUCUUAUAUUAACAGUAUGGGGAGAGAGAUAUUAGCAUAUGAAUAAGCAACGGCUAACUCCGUGCCAGCAGCCGCGGUAAACUCGU